Molecule: long non-coding RNA, 615 nt
Filed under: Parus major (Great Tit)
Lineage: Eukaryota; Metazoa; Chordata; Aves; Passeriformes; Paridae
Description: lncRNA (ENSPMJG00000013886.1)
Source: RNAcentral
AGCCUCGAGUGUGGCCGGACGGGCUCGAAGGAGCCGCCGCAGGUGAACAAUGAGAGCUGUGAGGGGCUGAACACGGCUGAGCGGUGUCCUGGCCAGAGUGUACCCAGCAGCCUGGCUCCCCGUGCUAACAAGCAGCCGCAGUGGGAUCAGGUGUGUCUGAUUCCUAAAUUAGUCCCAGCAGGUUGUUACAGUAAUGAAAGACUUUGGGUUCAUUACAGGAGAUUCAUGUGCUAAUUAGCAGCCCAGUUAAUAGGGCAGACUGGGAGCUGUGCUUGCUGCUCCCCGGAUUUCCAAAGCCUCAGGAGAAGGAAUGCAGGGAUGCAGUGUGAGCAUCAGAGGCAGGAACAAAAUAGAAUCCCCAGGAAGUUGAGGGGAAAUUCCUUCUUUCCAGGAACAAAUGUGUGUGUGAAAAUUGUGGAUGUAAUCUGGGGAGCUGUGGAAUUCAUGCAAGUUUUGUUAGAAUUCCUAGGAUUUGUUAGUAUGGCUGAGCAGGUCCCAUCUUGUUUGUGUUACCAGAUGCCAAUGGAGCUUCCCAAAUGGAAUCCCAAAGUGGUUUGGGUGGGAAGGGACCUUAAAUCCCAUUUAAGGAUUAAGCUCCCACUGUCCCAGGCUGCU